This 286-nucleotide long non-coding RNA is filed under the name Elaeis guineensis (African oil palm). RNAcentral describes it as "long non-coding RNA (EGUI_LNC028450)". The record is from RNAcentral. Lineage: Eukaryota; Viridiplantae; Streptophyta; Magnoliopsida; Arecales; Arecaceae.
ACAGGUGGCAUCAAUAUUGUGGUCAUGAGUCAAGGGUCGAAUGGCUCAGAUAUGCAGAGGCCGACUGACGACUCUCCAUCGAGCCCGAAAGUGGAAACUUCUUUACUUUUGAAAUCAAAUGUCGAUCGACUCUGGGAGCAAUAUCGCAUCCUGAGAGAAGGAACCCCUAGCCAUCGAAGAGAAGAAAACUAAAGGAGACGAAAAAUGAUUCAAAGAAGACAAAGAACUUAACCUGAAACUCAAAGAAGAAGACGAGGAAGAAAGAAAAGUCUUCAAAUGCUGGGAC